RNAcentral lists this ribosomal RNA (312 nucleotides) under uncultured bacterium. Its description in RNAcentral is "partial 16S ribosomal RNA". The stretch from base 239 to 312 matches the Rfam family "Bacterial small subunit ribosomal RNA", at positions 1 to 74 of the family's 1533-position model. The record is from RNAcentral.
UAUAACUAGCCUCCUCCGGGAGACCUGAAAAAAGCAAAGCAGGGAAAGCGGGGGAGGGGUUGACAGGGAUGAUUCGGAAGUGUAGGAUCAAACGGUUGACUCUUUCGGGGAGAAAAAAGCCCUGAAGAGAAAGACGCCCUGUGGAAACGCAGGGAGAGCGUCUCGGAUCAUUGACAACUAAAUAGGAGCAGCAACGUCCAAUUAAAGGGCCCUGAUCACGAAACACAGUAAUAAAAUGAAUCUGGAGAGUUUGAUCCUGGCUCAGAACGAACGCUGGCGGCGUGCCUAACACAUGCAAGUCCAACGUGAAAG